Molecule: ribosomal RNA, 497 nt
Filed under: uncultured bacterium
Lineage: Bacteria
Description: bacterial SSU rRNA
Rfam family: Bacterial small subunit ribosomal RNA
Source: RNAcentral
GACGAACGCUGGCGGCAUGCUUAACACAUGCAAGUGGAGCGACGAACCUUUUAGGGGCAAAGCCGCGAACGGGUGAGUAACACGUGGGCAAUCUGCCCAGUUGACUGGAAUAACUCUUCGAAAGGAGAGCUAAUACCGGAUGUGCCAUGUUUACAUAAGUAAACCUGGUAAAGGUAGCUUCGGCUAUCCGCAAUUGGAGGAGCCUGCGGCGCAUUAGCUAGUUGGUGGGGUAAAGGCCUACCAAGGCGACGAUGCGUAGCUGGUCUGAGAGGACGAUCAGCCACACUGGAACUGAGACACGGUCCAGACUCCUACGGGAGGCAGCAGUGGGGAAUCUUGCACAAUGGGCGACAGCCUGAUGCAGCAAUGCCGCGUGAGGGAAGACGGCCUUCGGGUUGUAACCGUACUUUCUAGUUGGGAGUGAAGGUUGGCCGGUGAAGUAGCCGCGUCACUGACCGUACCUUCUACGAAGAAGACUCCGGCUAACUACGUAGUCC